UCUUUUCCUUUUUUUCCCGCAGCCGCGGUAAUACGGAGGAUGCGAGCGUUAUCCGGAUUUAUUGGGUUUAAAGGGAGCGCAGACGGGUCGUUAAGUCAGCUGUGAAAGUUUGGGGCUCAACCUUAAAAUUGCAGUUGAUACUGGCGUCCUUGAGUGCGGUUGAGGUGUGCGGAAUUCGUGGUGUAGCGGUGAAAUGCUUAGAUAUCACGAAGAACUCCGAUUGCGAAGGCAGCACACUAAGCCGUAACUGACGUUCAUGCUCGAAAGUGUGGGUAUCAAACAGG
This 284-nucleotide ribosomal RNA is filed under the name Phocaeicola plebeius DSM 17135. RNAcentral describes it as "partial 16S ribosomal RNA". It matches the Rfam family "Bacterial small subunit ribosomal RNA", at positions 493 to 776 of the family's 1533-position model. Lineage: Bacteria; Pseudomonadati; Bacteroidota; Bacteroidia; Bacteroidales; Bacteroidaceae. The record is from RNAcentral.